RNAcentral lists this ribosomal RNA (500 nucleotides) under uncultured bacterium. RNAcentral's name for it is "partial 16S ribosomal RNA". It matches the Rfam family "Bacterial small subunit ribosomal RNA", at positions 30 to 523 of the family's 1533-position model. The record is from RNAcentral.
AUUGAACGCUGGCGGCAGGCUUAACACAUGCAAGUCGAGCGGGGGAAGGUAGCUUGCUACCGGACCUAGCGGCGGACGGGUGAGUAAUGCUUAGGAAUCUGCCUAUUAGUGGGGACAACAUCUCGAAAGGGAUGCUAAUACCGCAUACGUCCUACGGGAGAAAGCAGGGGAUCUUCGGACCUUGCGCUAAUAGAUGAGCCUAAGUCGGAUUAGCUAGUUGGUGGGUUAAAGGCCUACCAAGGCGACGAUCUGUAGCGGGUCUGAGAGGAUGAUCCGCCACACUGGGACUGAGAAACGGCCCAGACUCCUACGGGAGGCAGCAGUGGGGAAUAUUGGACAAUGGGGGGAACCCUGAUCCAGCCAUGCCGCGUGUGUGAAGAAGGCCUUAUGGCUGUAAAGCACUUUAAGCGAGGAGGAGGCUACUCUAGUUAAUACCUAGGGAUAGUGGACGUUACACGCAGAAUAAGCACCGGCUAACUCUGUGCCAGCCGCCGCCGUAA